UAAAAUAAGAUAUAUGAGAAGUUGGGAGGGGUGUCUCCUGGAGUUCCUCUGAAGACUUCAAUCAAGGUUUAAUUUAAUUUAAUUAUUAUUAUUAAUAAUUAAUAGCCUUCUUAUUGAAGUGUUUGGGGGAGCUCUUGGUGCCACUUCACCCUCUCCAUCGAAUUUUCUCUUACUAUAAUUAUCAUGAGACAUGAGCAUCUUGGCUUCAACAAUGUGGAGGUCGAAUCAGAUUGUCAACGUGUUAUUCAUAUCCUGCAGAAGAGAAACUUAUUCUUGGCUGAGUUUGGCCUAAUUUUUAAAGAUAUUUUUGCUAUUUGUAACCGUGUUAAUAUUUCUAAGUUUCUUUUUUGUAAUCGUUCUGCGAACUUUUUAGCUAACAAUUUUUUGAACUUGCAUUGUCUUUGGAUAUGGCAAGAGUGUGGUGGCCGGGUUUACUGGGUGUUCUUUGAUAAUUGGUGUUGAAAUCCCCUUAUAUUUUAAUUUUAUACCCUUAA
Long non-coding RNA from Cannabis sativa, 494 nucleotides. RefSeq lists it as uncharacterized. Lineage: Eukaryota; Viridiplantae; Streptophyta; Magnoliopsida; Rosales; Cannabaceae. The record is from RefSeq and is a predicted model, not a curated record. The transcript is spliced from 2 exons.